RNAcentral lists this long non-coding RNA (203 nucleotides) under Mytilus galloprovincialis (Mediterranean mussel). The record is from RNAcentral. Lineage: Eukaryota; Metazoa; Mollusca; Bivalvia; Mytilida; Mytilidae.
UCCGUGUUGUCUUGUGUACAAUUACAUUUGUCUAUUUGUCUUUUUCUUUUUUAGCCAUGUCGUUGUCAGUUUAUUUUCGAUCUAUGAGUUUGAAUGUCCCUCUGGUAUCUUUCGCCGCUCUUUUAGAACAAGAUUAAAAAUAAUAACAUAAAUAAGAAAGCUUAUCUAAUAUAGAUGAAGGUCGAUAUUUUCUACAAUUAAAC